Sarcophilus harrisii (Tasmanian devil) is the source of this 69-nucleotide non-coding RNA. NCBI's taxonomy places the organism in Eukaryota, Metazoa, Chordata, Mammalia, Dasyuromorphia, Dasyuridae. The record is from Rfam.
GUUUGUGUAGCUUAACAUAAAGCAAAGCACUGAAAAUGCUUAGAUGGACUUUAAUUAGUUCCACAAGCA